GGCCGGUCUGAAGGUAGUGAGUUACCACAACUGAUUGUUCACAGUCAGUUACAGAGCAGUCUUCUUCUUCUACUCCUUCCCCCCUUCUCACUUCUAUACUUGACUCAUCUUAA
RNAcentral lists this Y RNA (113 nucleotides) under Carlito syrichta (Philippine tarsier). RNAcentral's name for it is "Y RNA (ENSTSYG00000028960.1)". It matches the Rfam family "Y RNA". From Rfam's summary of the family: Y RNAs are components of the Ro ribonucleoprotein particle (Ro RNP), in association with Ro60 and La proteins. Lineage: Eukaryota; Metazoa; Chordata; Mammalia; Primates; Tarsiidae. The record is from Rfam by way of RNAcentral.